UCCAUUUUCCUUCUUUCCUGGGAUUGAAUAGUCAAACUUUUAUUGCUCGUUCUCAACAGCUUCAUUCUCUAGAAUAGGUUGCUCAAAAUUUUCCGACUCAAUUUUAUCUUCUUGGAUUUCAACAAGUGAAACACAGCUUAGGAUUCUCCAAAUGCCUUGCGACCUGUUGAUAUGUAACUGUAUCUUCAAGAACCCCUGAUAUAGCUUCCAGCUCUGCUUUUAGCCUAGCCAUAUGAUAAAUCACCAAAACAUUUUGAAUACAACAAAGCAACUCUAUGCUUAAAGUUGUUAACAUUGUUGUUAAUCAACCUGAAAAUAACAUUUUGAUAUCACUUGCAUUAGAAAUCACAUUUAUGAUAUUAAAAACUUAGGCGUGAAAGGAAUCAACCUCUAAAUCAGAUGGAAGUUUGAAAUGAUCAAUCAUUUUUACUUUCUUUCUGGGCAUGUGAGUUUAAUUUUAGUAACCUGGAUAAUGCAUGCUUACUAAAUGGUGAUAGCUUGUACAGGAGCUUGUCCUUAAAAUCUUACAGUUGAUAAUCUGUAGCUGUGGGUAGCCCGUUUCAAUGAGUUUGAUAAAAUAAUAUGUUGUUUUAUAUUCUUCCGAGUAAUAUACAGUUGCAAUAUGAAGUAUGUUGCGAUUAGCCAGUUACAUUAUGCGGAUUUAAUUCAUUAAGGCUAUGAACUUUUCAUUUGUAUGACCCCCAUAACAUGCAAGUCAAAAUGCACCUCAAAAGACUGUGUGUCACAUUGUCAUUUGUAAUUGUAUUAAUAACUUUGAGCAUUUAUGCUGGACAUAAGGUUCUCCUUGUCCUUCCUAUUUGGCCUCUAGUUUGUUAGACCAUUACUUUAUUCCAUAGUUUGUGAAAAUGAAAACAAAACCUUUUAUCUUUUUGAGUGUAGGUUAUUAGCAAGCUUGAAAGGAAGACAGUUGCUUACCAUGAAUCAGGUCAUGCUGUUGCUGGUUGGUUCUUGGAACAUGCAGAGCCCUUGCUUAAGGUAACAAUUGUUCCGCGUGGUACUGC
This 1022-nucleotide long non-coding RNA is filed under the name Manihot esculenta (cassava). RNAcentral's name for it is "long non-coding RNA (MESC_LNC005560)". The record is from RNAcentral. Lineage: Eukaryota; Viridiplantae; Streptophyta; Magnoliopsida; Malpighiales; Euphorbiaceae.